AGCCUGGAUGAUACAGUGAGACCUUGUCUCAAUAAAGAAACACGUUUGACCUCCAAAGCUAAGCAGGGUUGGGCCUCCUUAGUACUUGGAUGGGAGACCGCCUGGGAAUACCUAUAGGUGCUACAGGUUU
Molecule: ribosomal RNA, 130 nt
Filed under: Otolemur garnettii (small-eared galago)
Lineage: Eukaryota; Metazoa; Chordata; Mammalia; Primates; Galagidae
Source: RNAcentral